This 903-nucleotide ribosomal RNA is filed under the name Chaetothyriales sp. KhNk2-2b. RNAcentral describes it as "eukaryotic LSU rRNA". It matches the Rfam family "Eukaryotic large subunit ribosomal RNA", at positions 1 to 925 of the family's 3401-position model. Lineage: Eukaryota; Fungi; Ascomycota; Eurotiomycetes; Chaetothyriales. RNAcentral also lists the same sequence under 2 other names. The record is from RNAcentral.
UUGACCUCGGAUCAGGUAGGGAUACCCGCUGAACUUAAGCAUAUCAAUAAGCGGAGGAAAAGAAACCAACAGGGAUUGCCUCAGUAACGGCGAGUGAAGCGGCAACAGCUCAAAUUUGAAAUCUGGCCUUCGGGUCCGAGUUGUAAUUUGUAGAGGAUGUUUUGGGUACCGCCGCAGUUUAAAUUUCUUGGAACAGAAUGUCAGAGAGGGUGAGAAUCCCGUCUGGAACUGCGGUAGGGCCUAUGUAAAACUCCUUCGACGAGUCGAGUUGUUUGGGAAUGCAGCUCAAAAUGGGUGGUAAAUUUCACCUAAAGCUAAAUAUUGGCCAGAGACCGAUAGCGCACAAGUAGAGUGAUCGAAAGAUGAAAAGCACUUUGAAAAGAGAGUUAAACAGUAUGUGAAAUUGUUGAAAGGGAAGCGCUUGCAACCAGACUUGUGUGUGGCGGUUCCCCCUUGCUUCUGCUUGGGCUACUCCGUCAUAUCCAGGCCAACAUCGGUUCUAGGGGCUGGUUAAAGGCCUUGGGAAUGUAUCUACCCCCGGGUAGACUUAUAGCCCAGGGUGUCAUGCGGCCACCCGGGACCGAGGAACGCGCUUCGGCGAGGAUGUUGGCGUAAUGGUUGUCAGCGACCCGUCUUGAAACACGGACCAAGGAGUCUAACAUCUAUGCGAGUGUUUGGGUGUCAAACCCGUACGCGAAAUGAAAGUGAACGGAGGUAGGAAGCCUUUAGGCUGCACUAUCGACCGAUCCUGAUAUUUAUGGAUGGAUUUGAGUAAGAGCAUAGCUGUUGGGACCCGAAAGAUGGUGAACUAUGCCUGAAUAGGGUGAAGCCAGAGGAAACUCUGGUGGAGGCUCGCAGCGGUUCUGACGUGCAAAUCGAUCGUCAAAUUUGGGUAUAGGGGCG